UAUGCUUGCGGAUGGGGAUGCGUCUGAUUAGUUAGUCGGCGGGGUAACGGCCCACCGAGACGACGAUCAGUAGGGGUUCUGAGAGGAAAGUCCCCCACAUUGGAACUGAGACACGGUCCAAACUCCUACGGGAGGCAGCAGUGAGGAAUAUUGGUCAAUGGGCGGAAGCCUGAACCAGCCAAGUAGCGUGCAGGAUGACGGCCUAUGGGUUGUAAACUGCUUUUAUGCGGGGAUAGGUACCGCAUGAAUAAGGACCGGCUAAUUCCGUGCCAGCAGCCGCGGUAAUACGGAAGGUCCGGGCGUUAUCCGGAUUUAUUGGGUUUAAAGGGAGCGCAGGCCGCCGGGCAAGCGUGUUGUGAAAUGCAGUCGCUCAACGUCUGCACUGCAGCGCGAACUGCCCAGCUUGAGUGCGCGCAACGUUGGCGGAAUUCGCCGUGUAGCGGUGAAAUGCUUAGAUAUGGCGAAGAACUCCGAUUGCGAAGGCAGCUGACGGGUGCGUAACUGACGCUCAUGCUCGAAAGUGCGGGUAUCGAACAGGAUUAGAUACCCUGGUAGUCCGCACGGUAAACGAUGGAUGCCCGCUAUUCGG
This 589-nucleotide ribosomal RNA is filed under the name uncultured bacterium. RNAcentral's name for it is "bacterial SSU rRNA". It matches the Rfam family "Bacterial small subunit ribosomal RNA", at positions 214 to 827 of the family's 1533-position model. The record is from RNAcentral.